Amborella trichopoda is the source of this 1804-nucleotide non-coding RNA. The record is from RefSeq and is a predicted model, not a curated record. Lineage: Eukaryota; Viridiplantae; Streptophyta; Magnoliopsida; Amborellales; Amborellaceae.
GCUACUUCAAUCCACAAGAACUAUUGUUUUUUUUUAUCUCUGAUUCAAAUUUUGUUGUUUUAUAGACAAUCAAUAAUGGUUUACAGCACUAAAGCACCAAAAAGGCCAAAAAAUGGCAAGGAAAUCGAAUAUAAAAAGCAAAGAAAUUUGAUUCACGGGUCCUGCUGCAAAUAACGUGCUCCAUUUCAAACAACGGCCAUUAUGUCAUUUUGCCCCCUUUCUUGCCAAAAAAAUGCCGUUUUAACAAAAACUAGUCUGGUUACAUCUAAACUAAUGGUUAGAAAAAAAUACGGCUGGUUCGACCCCUAACUGGCUAGGUUUGGUCAGGACAUUUUAUGGGGUGAUACCCUAGGUCCUUAGAACCCUAAAACCGCCCCUAAAUGGACUCAGGACGCUAGCGGCUGCGGUCUAACCAGCCAGUUCCGAUUUUAACUGGCCAGUAUUUCUAAAAGCGAUCCAUAUGUCAUUUGAUCCAUUCAAUAGGAUCAACUUUCAGGUUGUUUGUGUCAUGCCUAUUUUUAGAUAGAUUCAACUGAUUUAGUGCACUAAUUCAAAUCACUUGAGAUUUUGCUUGUUGAGUAUCCAAGCCAUAGUGCCUUGUGGAGUUUUCCAAAGAAAUAUUUCUGCGAGCUUCAAUGCGCAAUCCCAUUUCUAACCCUACAUCAUGUUUGCCAAGCAGCAAGUCACCAAAAAUCUACUAUUCGAUGCAGCUUUCAGAAGUUGGGUUUCUUUCCUUUCUAAAGAUCCGGAUCCAUGGGUUUAAAUGAAAGUCAAAAUCCCAUCUCCAGCAGUUGUGGCAUACAUUUUCCAUCUCAGUAAAAGAUAUUGGGAGAUUUCUAAUGUAAGGGUCUUCCAGUCAUUUACCACCAAACUCACUUUCAAGCAAGCACUCCUGGUUCCACCCUAUACUCUUAAUGCAUACAGACUAACCAUAGCCUCAGAGUUGGAUUGACUCAGCAAACCUGUCCACUGAUGUUAAGCUUACUCCACAAGCUGAGAAGCCUCAUAACACACCCAAGACUCCAGCUCUAGUUUGUGGUUCUGCAUCUUCUGAUUGCCCCUACAAUUGCCCAUAUGAAGGAUGUGAUAAGUCCUACAUUCACAAGUACAAGCUCAAUCUCCAUCUCAAGAGAAAGCACCCUGGCCAUAAUUCAGAAGAGAAUGGAAAGCAUAAUGUCAAUGCUGAAAAUGAAGUAGAUGAAGGGAGUGACCCUGAUGCAUAUAAUGCAUUGAAGAGCGGUAAUGGAAACAGUACAAAAUGAAGUAAAGUGAAGUUGGCUUCGAAAACCCCACCUGCUAAAACUACACAGAGGAAAGGUAUGGGCACAGUCAUUCUUAACAGAAAUCCAGUAGCAAAGCCCCAUACCAGCAAAGGCUUUGUUGAUGAAGAACAUAGUGAGGUGAAAGAAGAGGAUUGUGACAAUGGUGAAGAGGAGGGGUGGCACUACAGAGAAGCGAAUGAGGAUGACAAGGAAACAGAAGAUGAGGAAUAGAGGGGUCUCAACUCUUUGGAUAUCUUGGCACGCUGUUAAGUAGUUUCUUGUGCCAAAACUGCAAAAAAAAUUGACAGUAAGGAAUCUGUAGAUAGCUGUCAAGUGUUAGCUUCUUUUCGUUCUCAAAAUGAGUUUUUAAUAAUGUAGAGCAACUUGGUUUGUUUGAUAUGUUGGAAGAACUAUUUUUCUUGAGCAAUAUUUUUCAAUGUUAUUAUGCCAUACUUGCAGUGGAUGCAUGGUAAUAUGUUUACAUAGUCUGAGGUAUUCACUGAAUGAUGGGUGGUGGCGUUCACCUAGGCAUGGAUGGUGUG